AAUGAAUAAAUAACCGUUUAGUUAAAAUUGAAAGUUUAAAAGAGAAUUGGUUAAGUUAAAGAAAUGAAGGACUAAAGUGGCUAAUUAGCCAAUCUAUAUAAAGAAAAGAAAGAGAUCAGAUAGAGGAAGAAGAAGGAGCGUACAGAAGGUUUUAGGCGAUCGAUUCGAUCCGCCGCGGUUUCGCCGUUUCUCGUCCAAAUCGAGUGAUUCUCGCGCCGAUGGAUUAAGAAUUCAAUUCCCUAUCAUCUUUAAGCUUCAAAUCGAGGAAGUGGAUACAUCGACGAGGUACGAGAUCGACGAGCUGGAAUAGUUAAAAGAGUGAAUGACGUGUGGAGCUUACGUUUGGAUAUAAGGAAUAGCGAUCGUUGUGUAUAGAGUCGGAUCAGACAGACCGUCUUUGGUGUGCUGGGUACAAGACCCCUUGGUGCUGCAGUAGUAUACGUGUGACGAGUCUUAGCCUAGUAUAGUUAGGUCUUAUAGGUUGUGUACGUGUUUAAUGUUUGUUUGAUGUGACAUCUUUUGGUUGUCAGUUUUUGUAUUGAUCGAUAGAUGGGCUAGUACGUACCAGUUACGGAAGUGAAAUGCCCACUAUGAUUGUAUCGAUGAUGUGUCUAUAUAUGAUGUUAUGUUAUGAUUGUAAACGUGUCUUUCUUAUUAUAUGUCUAUAGGAUAGUUGUGUUUGCGUUUCCGCGAAAAAGUUAGAGUGGUUUUAGGCUUGCUACGGGUUUCGGAGCUACCACUCCCAUUCCCUAGCGCCGGUCUCGGCUCAA
This is a long non-coding RNA of Mercurialis annua (annual mercury), 770 nucleotides long. RefSeq lists it as uncharacterized. The record is from RefSeq and is a predicted model, not a curated record. NCBI's taxonomy places the organism in Eukaryota, Viridiplantae, Streptophyta, Magnoliopsida, Malpighiales, Euphorbiaceae. The transcript has 3 exons.